AUCGCUUCUCAGCCUUUUGGCUAAGAUCAAGUGUAGAAUCUGUAGCCAAGUAGGCUUAUAGCAAUUAAGCAACUAAGUCUACUUGAUUGGUUAUUUUUCUAAUCUGAAAUGAAUGUCUAGAGGUUCUAUUUGAUGAUGACAUAGAUAUCAUAAUUGAUGCUUUUCAAAGUAGGACAUAUAAC
Small nuclear RNA from Suncus etruscus (white-toothed pygmy shrew), 182 nucleotides. RefSeq annotates it as U2 spliceosomal RNA. NCBI's taxonomy places the organism in Eukaryota, Metazoa, Chordata, Mammalia, Eulipotyphla, Soricidae. The record is from RefSeq and is a predicted model, not a curated record. The transcript has a single exon.